Long non-coding RNA from Cyprinus carpio (common carp), 385 nucleotides. RefSeq lists it as uncharacterized. The transcript has 3 exons. NCBI's taxonomy places the organism in Eukaryota, Metazoa, Chordata, Actinopteri, Cypriniformes, Cyprinidae. The record is from RefSeq and is a predicted model, not a curated record.
CAGGAGGCGGGGAGAUGAAGAGCCAAUGAGCAUGAAGGGCAUUUAUCACUUUUUCCUCUGAAUAUGUGAAACAACAGAUUUUAUCGGCACGCAAAGAUGACAACUAUAGGCAGACAUUUUUCCACAAUGGCUUGUGCACUAGUAUAGUUCAAACUCCAAACACCUUGAUUUGGGGCUGUGAUUCUCUGCUGAUAUGAUGACUUCAGAUGCCCUAUCAGCUCUUUUCUUUGUCUCAUAUAGGUGGAUCCACAGAACAGAAUUAUUCCUGCAGCUUUCCCUGAACCCAAUGGUUUACUUGCAGUUCUAUCUAGCUUAAACAGUUUUACCCAGGCUUCUGAAAGGCAGGACAGCAAACUGAUACCACCAGUGGAAUAAAAGAAGAAAU